UAAUCGCAACCUCCCCUACAACUUUCUCCUUCUAUCUCUCUUUCCCUCUCUAUUAAUUUUCAGUUUCCCGUAGACAUAUGGUUCCUCUUUUCCUCUCUAGCAUCUAGAUCUGAAUUUAUACAAUCAUAGACACACUUUAAAGACCCUUCCGAUGCAAUGGCAGACUUCAAGGAAAAGCGAUGAUGUUAACUUCUUAAGCCAAGUUCGUUUAAGUCACGAGGGAGAUGGGCCGAAAGUGGCAAAGCAUUUAAUCGAGGUGUGUUUUGCACUAUUUAAGGUAUUGAUUUCUGAUGCCAAUAGGGAGCAUGGGACGAACAAAUGCAGUAAAGAAAAAGCUAGAAAAAUUUCUAGUUCAAAAUGUAAUCCAAAGAAUGCUCCUCCAGAAUCUCACGUUGAGAUGGAUUCCCGGUUAUUAACAGCUCUUUUAACAGGUGUGAAUAGAGCGUUUCCUUUUGUUUCUAGCGAUGAAUCUGACAAGAUUAUUGAAACCCAGACGCCAAUCUUAUUUCAGCUGGUUCAUUCUAGGAGCUUUAAUGUGGGAGUUCAAGCAUUAAUGCUUCUUGACAAGAUCUCUACCAGAAAUCAAAUUGUUAGUGAUAGAUUCUACCGAGCCUUAUAUUCAAAACUCUUGCUACCAGCUGCCAUGAACUCUUCAAAGAGGAAAUAUUUAUUGGGCUACUUCUAAGGGCGAUGAAAAAUGACAUCAAUCUAAGGAGGGUCGCUGCUUUCUCUAAGCGUUUGUUACAGGUUGAUGGUGGAUUGUAGUAAACCUGGCUAUGAAGCUCUUAGAAGCUACUUCGAUUAUGGACUUCGCCAAUUCAUGCAAACAUGAUACUCAUUAUAUAUCGCAGAGGGUCUAUCUUAACAUUUGUUAUCCCUGGCAAUUUUGGUUGUACAUAUUAAAGCCUAAUUAGGAUUUGAUUUGAGUAUCUUUGUGCUUUGUACUGUUGAUAGUAUUGGUUGUAAAAUAUUGUUGCUCGUUUUGUAUUUGUAAUGAUAAAUUAGUUUGUUAUUUCGUAUAAAA
Molecule: RNA transcript, 1024 nt
Organism: Coffea arabica (coffee)
Lineage: Eukaryota; Viridiplantae; Streptophyta; Magnoliopsida; Gentianales; Rubiaceae
Gene name: protein SLOW WALKER 2-like
Source: RefSeq, a predicted model, not a curated record